RNAcentral lists this ribosomal RNA (736 nucleotides) under uncultured endophytic bacterium. RNAcentral describes it as "bacterial SSU rRNA". It matches the Rfam family "Bacterial small subunit ribosomal RNA", at positions 771 to 1504 of the family's 1533-position model. The record is from RNAcentral.
AACCGGAUUAGAUACCCUGGUAGUCCACGCCGUAAACGGUGGGUACUAGGUGUGGGUUUCCUUCCUUGGGAUCCGUGCCGUAGCUAACGCAUUAAGUACCCCGCCUGGGGAGUACGGCCGCAAGGCUAAAACUCAAAGAAAUUGACGGGGGCCCGCACAAGCGGCGGAGCAUGUGGAUUAAUUCGAUGCAACGCGAAGAACCUUACCUGGGUUUGACAUGCACAGGACGACGGUAGAGAUAUCGUUUCCCUCGUGGCCUGUGUGCAGGUGGUGCAUGGCUGUCGUCAGCUCGUGUCGUGAGAUGUUGGGUUAAGUCCCGCAACGAGCGCAACCCUUGUCUCAUGUUGCCAGCGCGUUAUGGCGGGGACUCGUGAGAGACUGCCGGGGUCAACUCGGAGGAAGGUGGGGAUGACGUCAAGUCAUCAUGCCCCUUAUGUCCAGGGCUUCACACAUGCUACAAUGGCCGGUACAAAGGGCUGCGAUGCCACGAGGCUUAGCGAAUCCUUUAAAGCCGGUCUCAGUUCGGAUCGGGGUCUGCAACUCGACCCCGUGAAGUCGGAGUCGCUAGUAAUCGCAGAUCAGCAACGCUGCGGUGAAUACGUUCCCGGGCCUUGUACACACCGCCCGUCACGUCAUGAAAGUCGGUAACACCCGAAGCCAGUGGCCUAACCCUUGUGGGGGGAGCUGUCGAAGGUGGGAUCGGCGAUUGGGACGAAGUCGUAACAAGGUAACCGUA